CUUACGCUGUCAUGUUUUGCCGACCCCUGCGGUGAUGCCAAGACGGAAAUAGACACGCUGGAAUGUACUCAUUUCCAUUGAACAUCUGGCUGUCCUGUAGAAAACAAGGUAAUUACAGAGACGUGGGGAUUCUUGACUUGGCGGCGUGUUCUGUAAACACUCCGCCGCGGAGAGCCGUCCCACCAUAUGUCUCAAAACAGGGCAGACCUUUUUGGUUUUGUACAGCUGGGAAGCGGAGGGUGUUUUGCUGUGGCUUGUUGACUGAUUUUAUGUCAAGCGGUCGGAACUACGCACGGAUUCGGGUGGUGCUUCGAGUGGGCCUUAAACACGGCUCCGAAAGGGCUUCCUAAACUCAACAAUAAGGCAUCUUAAGCAGAAGACAGCUUGGAAAGUGGUUGCAAGAGGGGAACCUCAUAUGCCACCUUGAGCUCAAUGGAGAAAACCCAGAUUAUGGGAAUGUUCACCAACAAAGACACUCUGAUGAGAUGAUGGUGAUGAGCCCAUGUCGUCUUCUUUAUUGAUCGACCGCUGUUGAAUCUGUCCAGAACAGAAGGUGAUGCAAAUAACCGUGAGACGAGUGGGAGAGAAAAAGACUUCGUGAUGAGGCAGGAAAAGAAGACACACAGCAUUUUUCAGUGUCUUAAAUGUUAAUCACCAGGAAACAAAAAAUAAAUGAGCUAUGGGUAUUGUAUAAUUGCGAGAAAUUUUGAGAAAUGAGUUGUGUCCAGAGAAAUCCAAUUAAGCUUAUUAAUCUGGCACAGAGGAGGUAAGGAGGAGAAAGACCACACAUUGUUGGAAACUCAAGGAUUUCUUUACACCGGUGUGUGUGUACGUGAGUGCAUGUGUGCAUGCACGCUUGUGGAAACUACAUUAAUCAGGCACCCAAUGAUACUUUCAACCACUUUCCUAACAGAUUGCCCUAAUUACACUGAGUGGGCUAUUGUGCUGGAAACUCUUUGGCUGCUAAAAAGUAAAACACUGAAGUUUUUCAGUGGAGUUACACCAAGUGUGAAGGGCCUGGGUUACCAGUAAAGCCCAUUUGUAGAAUGUGGUUGUAACGAAGGAGCUUAUAUUUUAUUAAAUGCUGCCACCAAAUUAUAAAGUCUUUAUAAUGCUGCCACCAACUGUAAAGGGGAUUAUUAACGCUUGACACCACUUUGGGAAGAUGCAGCCACCAAAGAACUAGAGAGGCGAAAUUUUAAAUUUUGUUUUUCUUUCUUCUUCUUAUUUACUUAGAUGGUAACACAACUCAGUUCAUAAUAUAUGUGACAGAGGCUUAGAUGUUUGAGGAACAAUAACAAGUUUAUUCAGGCACAGAGCUUAAUGGUUACAAUAACGUUUAUCCUUAGAGGCACUUUAGUUAACAGUUGCAAUAUUAGAAUGAGGUGACUCAAACUUCCUAAAAUGUCACUUCUUUCUCUACUGCUUCUAAACCGCAGUCACCCUGUGAAAUACAAUCACAAAUUCUCCGUUCCUUAUCAGGACACAGACUGCAUUAAAUAAGUCACCAAACUUAUUUUAAACUGACUCAGAAAUAAGCAAUUGAGCCUCCCUGAUCCUUUCAACCCAGGAUUAGUCUUCCCUGUGCCUCAUUAGAGCACAGACUAACCACUUUUUAAAAACUCUGCACUUCAUCACCAAAACGGCAGUUGGCUCCGCCCACUUCUCCAUGGCAACCAACCUCCGAGUGCAGAGAUGCAACAACUGAAAUACUGACCCUUUUAAAAACACAAACACAUAAUUACACAUAACAUCUGUAAACCAAAAAUUCACACUUCAUUACAAUGGUGAUACUCUGAAAAGCGCCAUGGGAGUCUGUCUCCUUCCCAGAAGUCUACAGAACUUUUCAUAGACUUCUAAGGGUGCAUCAACACUGUAGGAUUAAUUCAGUUUGGCACCACUUCCAUGACCAGGGCUCAAUCCCAUGGAAUCAAUGACCAAAGUGCGAAGAGGCUGAAAUCUGACUAGUAAUUCAUUUUGGAGAUUCGGAUGCCUUCUGCUUUGUAUCGAAUUCCGAUAAGUAAUCCGAAUCUAUGAAUGUUUCGUAGGCUGCUGUUUAAUUUUUUAAUGCUCCAUAGAUGUCCCUUUCCGGUUCGCAAUCUAGAGAUUCAUAUUUACAAAUCAUACAAAUCUCUGAACUGCGAAUCAGAACGCCGAAGCUUUGCACACUCCUACCAAAUAUAUACGCAUUCUUGAUAUAUGUGUGUGUUAACUCUUUCUAGAUACUGGAGUAAAAACAUGUAAACAUUCAGUGAAAUGAUGGUAACUUGGA
This is a long non-coding RNA of Anolis carolinensis (green anole), 2272 nucleotides long. RefSeq lists it as uncharacterized. The record is from RefSeq and is a predicted model, not a curated record. Lineage: Eukaryota; Metazoa; Chordata; Lepidosauria; Squamata; Anolidae. The transcript is spliced from 3 exons.